Alosa sapidissima (American shad) is the source of this 691-nucleotide long non-coding RNA. RefSeq lists it as uncharacterized. Lineage: Eukaryota; Metazoa; Chordata; Actinopteri; Clupeiformes; Clupeidae. The transcript has 3 exons. The record is from RefSeq and is a predicted model, not a curated record.
CGGCAACAUUCUAAUCUGAACAAUGAAGCCUACCCGGAAGUUCGAAAAACUGCAAUACAUCGAAAAUCCGCUAGGGACUGGUCCCAAAAGCGAGCAAAUGUCCAUAGACUCCCAUGUUAAAAUGUCCGUUUUCACAGCGUAAAUACAUGUUUUUAAAGCCUGGUCCCAUGGACUUUUAUUGUACUUUUCGGUAGUUUCCCAGUGCCUGACAACUGUGAGGGGGGUGAAUUUUUUUCUAACUCAUUAGUUUAGAUCACAUUUAGAUAUAAAAUAUAUGAAUAAUUAAGGGCGUGGUCGGCUUGAUUGACGGCUGACGUCGAGGCAUACAGCAGCAGACGUUGCCAGCUGAGUGGAAAGUGGAAACCCUGAAACUUUGACGUCUCAGCCAUGAUUAUACACAAAGUUACCACAUCCUUUCUGAACAUCUUUAUUCAAAAAGCUGACAUAAAAUGGUUUGCUAAGCUAUUAAUUGAAGCCUACUAACCGACACUUUCAGAAGACUUCGUUCCAGUUUUUUCAGUUUCCCUGUAGGUAAUCCAGACAGGCUGGGUGCUGGAGGGCUCUGGACUCCUAACUUCAAUUCUCGUCUGUGCAGUCGACACUCAGAAGCAUGACUUCAGCACUGAUUCCAUGAUCUGGAACAUUUUGAAAUCCUACCAGAUGGGGCAGAAGUCAUUGAGCAGUGGCAGCU